CCGCUCCCGCGGGGCCGGCCGCCCGCCUGCCCUGCUCGAUGACUUCCGGCCUCCCCCCAAUCCCGCUCCCCCUCCAUCCCACCGGCCCUCUCCCCGCUGGCUCCUCCCCGCCGCGCAUCAGGCCACUGGAAGGGGUGGGGAGCCGUGGUCCCGGAUGGUUUCAGCCGGAGCUGCGUGUUGGGGACCUUUCUUUUAAAAAUAGCGGAGCGUGUUUUUUAUUAAAAGUACAGCUAGUUGAUGCAGCAACUCCGAGUUGCAAUAACAGAUACAGUGUUCGAUUUAAAAAAUAUGUUUUUCCUGUUUCCUGUGCCUUAUCCUAUAUUUACUAUAUUGGAGAAACAAAAAAAUGAAUAUAACAAGAUCCAUGUCCUCAAGGCGGUUAAACCCCACAUCCUAACGUUCAUAAAGCCGUUCCACCGGGAGUUGUUGCUUGCUAUCUACCCGCAAACCCUAUGCGAAGAGGCGUGGGAUUUGCAGCCAGAAUACAGAACUCUUCUAAAAUCUAGUGUUGGGACAGAGAUGGAGAUACAUCAUGAUAGUCAGAAUAAAACAAAUGGUAGGUAGAGUCAAAAGCAAUUUGAUGGAGACUGUAAGGGGAUGGAGUGACAAAAAGAACUGGUCUUUGAGAAAGAGGAAUCCACAGGACUAGGUGGUGAUUGGUUUUAGAGAGGAGAGAGGUACCAUCCUGGACGAUUUUCACAUGGCCCCUAAGAGGAGGAUGGUGUCAUUAACAAAUACAGGAAACUGAAAAGUUGGAGCAGGUUGUUUGGGCAAAGAGCUAAUUUUGGCCAUACUGAAUUUGCGAUGCUCACUCAGCUAGCAUGUGAAGCUGUGUAACAGCAGGUGGGCAUGUAUGUAUAGAGCUCAGGCUGAGGAGUGCCUUGAAGUGAUGGGCGAAGUCAUGAGUGCAUGUGAUAUUCAAAGCCGUGGAAGAAAUUGAUGUCCUCAAAAGAAAAUCUGAGAGCUGGAAAGGACUUUGGAGGUCGUGUUUUUUGACUCUGCAGACCCCUCAGGCAUUAAACCCUUCUACCAGACGUAUUCAAUAAGCAUUUAUUGGAUGCCUUUUAAACUCUACCGUGCAUUAGGCCUGAUGUAGGCAGUGGGUGUGAAAAGCUCCAUCCGAGGAGCCUACAUGCUGGUGAGGGAGGCAACCAUGUAAUCCAACCCACUGCUAUCAGUGCCAUGUUGAAAGUAUGGAACUGGUGCCGCAGUACCACAGGGGAAGGGGUUCAAGGAACCCAUCAUGGCGCAUACGAAACUCCAGGAGUGCACCAGAGGCAGAGAAUUCACCUGUGAACCAUCAGAGUUGUGACACCCUUCCUGGAACAGCAAAACCUGGGCUAAAGCCUCCUGUCCUCCUUGUUAAUCCAGCAUAAAGAGAUCCUGACCACAUGCACGGUCAUGUGCCACACAACGGCGUUUCAGUCAGUGACAGACCACGUAUACGAUGGUGGUCCCAUGAGAUUAGUACCAUAGAGCCUAGGUGUGCAGUAGGCUGUGCCAUCUAUGUCUGUGCAAGUGCGUUCUGCGAUGUUCAUACAACGACGAAAUCUCUUAACCACUCAUUUCUCAGAACAUGUCCCCAUCAAUAAGUGAUGCAUGACAGUGCCUAAAGCAAGAGGACUUGGUGUGUUUGGGGACUGACAUCUGCUGAGGCAGUGGGAGCAAUACGUGUCCAAGACAGUUUUACCCACAUGACCCAGAUGUCUGGGCCGGGUCAGAACUGGGGAUUCUAAUCAGGACCCAACAUGGACAGGGCUAGAGGAGGCCAUGAUCACGGCAGCCAAAGGCCCCAGAAGCUAAGGUGUCUCCACAAGUCAAGCGCAGGUCCCAGCUCCUUCCUACAGAAAGAUGCGGACUGUGGAGGUUCCCUCGGGGACAAGACCAACAAGGACAUAGACUGAGGAGUGUCUUCAUUGCACACGAGGUCACUGACACGCACCAGGACCUACAGCGGCCGUGGUCCACUGCAUUCAUUGACUGGUAAAUGAAUUACUGCUUUGGAUAGAGGCCCUGGGGGACAGGGAAGGAGCCCCUAGGAUGGUGACAUGAAAUACCCGGGAAUUAAAACGUGCA
This 2076-nucleotide long non-coding RNA is filed under the name Equus caballus (horse). RNAcentral describes it as "lncRNA (ENSECAG00000057313.1)". Lineage: Eukaryota; Metazoa; Chordata; Mammalia; Perissodactyla; Equidae. The record is from RNAcentral.